Molecule: ribosomal RNA, 490 nt
Filed under: uncultured bacterium
Lineage: Bacteria
Description: partial 16S ribosomal RNA
Rfam family: Bacterial small subunit ribosomal RNA
Source: RNAcentral
AUUGAACGCUGGCGGCAGGCCUAACACAUGCAAGUCGAACGGUAACAGGCAGCAGCUUGCUGCUUUGCUGACGACUGGCGGAUGGGUGAGUCAUGUCUGGGAAACCUCCUGCUGGAGGGGGAUAACUACUGGCAAGGGUAGCUACUACCGAAUAACGUCGCCUGCCCACAGAGGGGGACCUUGGGGCCUCUUGUCGUCGGAUGCGCCCAGCUGGGCAUGGUUUGUAGGUGGGGUAACUACUCACCUAGGCGACGAUCCCUAGCUAGUGUGAGAGGACGGCCGGCCACACUGGAACGGAGCCACGGUCCAUGCGCCUACGGGAGGGAGCAGAGUGGAAUAUUGCACAAAGGGCGGAAGUCUGGUGCAACGAUGCCGCGUGUGUGGAGAAGGCGCUCGGGUUGUGAAGUACUCUCAGCGGUGAGGAAGGGAGUUAACUUGAUACCGAGCCUGAGUGACGGUACCCGCAGAAGAAGCACCGGCUAACUCCGUG